UCGAAUUUACAAGAAGAACAACACGCAUAGGCCGAUGGAUCUGGAGGACUCCAUGGACGGCACGAUGGGAUCGUCGUUUCCCCUGUCGAAGCUGCACCACCUUCCCCCGAAAUCGACGACAUCAACCUACGGCCAAUUCAUGGACAACGACCAUAAUUUCUACGACGGGAUGGUAAGCAGCGAAGGGAUCAAUACUAGUGCUUCUUUUCUUCCAAACUCGGCUUUGGCCAACAGCUCUCUCCCUCUAAAACGGGAACUCCCGAAUCUGUACUGGAAUCAUGAUCCGGAGGACGAAGCAGGGCCUUCAAGGAGACUACACAUGGACAGCAGUGAUCAGAGCACUGGAAAUGGUUCUAUUGCCAUUCUGCUUUCUCAGCUCCCUCAGACACCUCCUCCAUUGCACCAGCAGCCAAUGCUGGGGACGUCACAGCUCGGUGGCGACGCUCUGUUUCGUAGUACACAGUAUCAACUUCCGGGGAAUUGGUAUUCUUAGUCCAAUUUCGUAUUAGCGGCUUGGCACAUAUAUUCCAUAUGAUGAUGUUAAUUGUAAGCACACUCUUGUUGCUCAACAUAUAGUUGUAU
RNAcentral lists this long non-coding RNA (582 nucleotides) under Fragaria vesca (wild strawberry). Its description in RNAcentral is "long non-coding RNA (FVES_LNC001005)". Lineage: Eukaryota; Viridiplantae; Streptophyta; Magnoliopsida; Rosales; Rosaceae. The record is from RNAcentral.